This is a long non-coding RNA of Mus musculus (house mouse), 3297 nucleotides long. RefSeq annotates it as predicted gene, 53646. The record is from RefSeq and is a predicted model, not a curated record. NCBI's taxonomy places the organism in Eukaryota, Metazoa, Chordata, Mammalia, Rodentia, Muridae. The transcript has 2 exons.
CCUCUGUCAGUCCUCUAAUGCUGGAGGAGGGAGUGACAUCUGCAGUACUGUUUGCUGAUUUCUGCACUCUGAGGGGGGGGGGGGGGGAAGGAUUGGAGACUUGAGGGAAUUCAAUAUAAGCAGCAGAAAUGAUUAAGGAGUUGAAGGGGAUCAACUCUGGGGGAGAGACAUUAUGAAGAUAAAGUACACGCCACUCCAGUAUAGGAACGGACCUGCAGCUGACAGAUGUCAGGGGCAUUCUGAGCACUUGCUGGCUUGUCCUGUGGCUCUCAUUCAUUCCAGUUGUGUACGCUGGGAAGGUAGACAUGUCACUUCCUCAAGGUCACGCCUCCUGACCCGGAGCCAAGAAAUAACAGCGGGCAAUAGAAUAUUUGGUGCUUAGACCCAAGGACCAAAGAGAAGGUGAAAAGCCACUAUGGCCUGGCGGUGACAUGGAAUUGUCCACUAACACUCAGGGAAAUGAUCUUAGUGAUGAGUUCCCAAGCUGAAGAAGGCCACGGCCGAAAUAUUCAUCUUUCCAAAUCCAAGAAAACAGAAGAUGUGUGCUCAAAGUGACAAGAGACUAAAACUUAGGCUACUAAGAGAGCAGAUGCUCACGUAGCAUGGGAGAGCUCAGCCUUCCCGAGGCUAGCUGUGGGACAGAGGAUAGGAUUUCUGCUCUACCGAUUAAAUAAACCAGAGGGGCUUUAGAACUAAAGACUAGAAAGCAUACAUUAGGAGAAGAGUGGUUACCGGAAAGCACUUUCAGCCAUGGUGGAGGCAGAAGCCAAGGCUAAAAAGGAUGAAUCAACACACUGAGUACAAGCUAAGUCGGCAUAAGUAAGAGAAGAAGGGAGCCAAUGCCUAAGAACACAGUUCAGUUAAGUCGUACUAGAAAUCUGUGUUGAUUGGCGCACUAACGGAAAGCAGACAUCAGCACCGAGGAUUUAUGCGGCAUUACCAGUGGUUCUUCCGGGGCCGUGGUCUCCGCUGUGCGUCCUUUCAAAGUUCUCUAGAAAGAAAGGGCACGCGAGCGUGUCCAGGUGGCAGUGGGUGGUCCACAGGGUCCCCCCGACUAACGUUGAAAACUCUUUGCCUUGAUUUGGCUCCACAAAGGUUUCAGAGACGCUAGAGUGAAGAAGCUAGGGAAGCUCUAGUUAAGCAUUUGUACUGGCUCAUCCAGAGGACCCACACCAGCUUCCCAGGAUCCAUGGCGGGUGGCUCCCCACCACCAGGAACUUCAGCUCCAGGGAGUCCAGUGCCCUCUUCUGGCCUCUUUGAGACCCCACACACACUCAGCAUGCAUACAUACACACACACACACACACAAAUAAAUAAAUAAAAAUAAAUCUUUUGGAGCUGGAGAGGCAGCUCAGUGGUUGACUGCUCUUGCAGAGGACUCAAGUUGGAAUCCCAGCUUCCAGCGCACAGCUGCAUGUGACACUAGCUCCAAAAGGAUCAGUCACCUCUGGUCUCGGGCACCUGCGCUCACAUGUACAUGCUUGUACAUAUAUGUACAUAAUUAAAGAUAGAUAUUUUUAAAGGUUUUAUGCUGCUUCUGUUUACUACUAAUAAUUCACUCACAGAUGCAACAGUAUGCCACGGACUGUGCCUGUCUCUAGGCACAUAGCCACAAGUAAAACUGACUCUUCCUUGUUAAGCUUAGAGCUUGACAAAAUAUAAUAAGCCCAUAAAUACUGUUUAAAAUACUUGUUAAAGGAAUAUUCAUCAAUGGUAUAGAGAUGAUAAUAACCAGAAGAAAAUACAGUUAAAAUAUGUUAAAAGUGUCAACAAGAAAAAGUAAGAAAAUAUGUUCAUUAGAAUUGUCAACCUGGCAGCUGGAUGGUGGUGGCUCAUUAGAUCCUAGCGCUUGGGAGUCAGAGAAGAAUUGGCCACACAGCAAUCCUUGGGGUCUAUGGUCAUUCCAGGGUAAGACUGCAAAUGGGUCAGGUAGUACAUGGGCAAGGUAUACAGGCAAUUCAUUGAGGUGUGGCUGUGUUGUGAUGGAUAAAGGAGGCAGAGGAGCACAUGAGAAUGUGUGUGUUCUACAGAAAGUUUUAAGAUUUUUAUUUAUUUAUUAAGAUUUAUUUAUUAUUAUAUGUAAGUACACUGUAGCUAUCUUCAGAUACACCAGAAGAGGGCGUCAGAUCUCAUUUCGGAUGGUUGUGAGCCAGCAUGUGGUUGCUGGGAUUUGAAUUCAGGACCUUCAGAAGAGCAGUUGGUGCUCUUAACCGCUGAGCCAUCUCUCCAGCCCAAGAUUUUUUUUUUUUUUUAAUUUUUGAAAAUUGUGUGUUGGGAUGGAGAGAGAGCUCAGGGGUAAAGAACACUAGCCACUUCUCCAGAGGAUCCAGAUUCAAUUCCUAGCACCCACAUAGCAGCUCACAACCCUCAAUAACUGCAGUCCCAGGAGAUCUGAUGCUGCCUUCUAGCCUCUAGGAGCAUCUGGCACACAUGUGCAUAGACAUUCAUGCAGCCAAAACACUCACCCACAUUUUUAUGUGCAUAUCGGUGGAGUGUGUGUGCACAUGAGUAUAGGUAGCUUUGAGAUAACUGGCCCCCUUGGCGCUGACAAUACAGGUGGCUGUGAGCUGCUGGACAUGGGUGCCUGGGACUGAACUUGUGUCCUCUGAAAGAGCAGUACUUGCUCUUAACUGCUAAGGCGUGAGCAUAUUUAGAGCUGGACGUGGUGGUGUAGACCAAUAGAGAGGAAGCCGUUAAAGUCCAACUGAGCUCAGUAGAGAGGGGACAACCUACAGUAAGGCCAGGUAGCCUGGGCUCAAGCAGUGCACAAACUAGUAGGCCUGUCUAGUAGUGGGAAAGUAAGCACAUUUGUAUCUAGUGACUCAUUGUUUGUUUGGUCUGUUUGGGGGUGGAGGGAGUAGGGUGGGGACAAGGUCUCUUUAUGUAGCUGUUCUGGACCGUGCUACGUAGACCAGGAUGACCUGGCCUCACAGAGAUCCUCCUGCCUCUGCCCUGUUAAUGCUGAGAUUAAAAGUGUGUGCGACCACACCUGACCUGUGCUUUUUAUAGUUAAGUAGAAAUGAGGAGAUGGCCACAAAUGGGAAAGAGUGGUGUCUAAAGGGAGAUCUGAGCUAGCCAUGGAAGAGGACUUGGAGUUGGUGCACCUAGGCAUCGCUGAGUGCUGCCACGCGGGAUCUGAGCCUUAAGCGACACUGGUCUGAGUGCAGACCAGGGUAAAGUUUUUACUUUCUUACCUGUAUAAUGGACAUAUCAGAUAGAUGUCUAAGAAGUUGGGGAGCAAAUUAAGUCAUGUCCCUAACCCAGAACUUAGCAUUGAAUAAAGCCUCCAGAAAGAUA